RNAcentral lists this unclassified non-coding RNA (327 nucleotides) under uncultured fungus. Its description in RNAcentral is "partial contains 5.8S ribosomal RNA and internal transcribed spacer 2". The stretch from base 1 to 133 matches the Rfam family "5.8S ribosomal RNA", at positions 22 to 154 of the family's 154-position model. Lineage: Eukaryota; Fungi. The record is from RNAcentral.
UGGUUCUGGCAUCGAUGAAGAACGCAGCGAAAUGCGAUAAGUAAUGUGAAUUGCAGAAUUCAGUGAAUCAUCGAAUCUUUGAACGCACAUUGCGCCCAUUGGUAUUCCAGUGGGCAUGCCUGUUCGAGCGUCAUUUAGACCACACCUAGGCCGCCUGCCUAGCGUUGGGGGCCCGCCCUGGCGGCCCCUCAAAGCUCCCAGCGGAGCCGCGGUAGCCUCUAAGCGCAGUAGCAGCUCUGUCCUCGCUUCUGAAGGUGCCGCGGGUCCUGCUGUAAAAGCCCAAGCCCCCAAAGGGUUGACCUCGGAUCAGGUAGGAAUACCCGCUGA